UCCCAGUUCGGACUGGAGUCUGNAACCCGACUCCACGAAGUUGGAUUCGCUAGUAAUCGCGCAUCAGCCAUGGCGCGGUGAAUACGUUCCCGGGCCUUGUACACACCGCCCAUCAAGCCAUGGGAGCCGGGGGCGCCUGAAGUCCGGGACCGCGAGGACCGGCCUAGGGCGAAACUGGUAACUGGGGCUAAGUCGUAACAAGGUACC
RNAcentral lists this ribosomal RNA (207 nucleotides) under uncultured bacterium. RNAcentral's name for it is "partial 16S ribosomal RNA". It matches the Rfam family "Bacterial small subunit ribosomal RNA", at positions 1286 to 1500 of the family's 1533-position model. The record is from RNAcentral.